UAGGGAAUAUUGGACAAUGGAGGAAACUCUGAUCCAGCCAUGCCGCGUGAUAGAUGAAGGCCCUCUGGGUUGUAAAUAUCUUUUAUCUGGGAAGAAACACUCCUAUUCUUAGGAACUUGACGGUACCAGAGGAAUAAGCACCGGCUAACUCCGUGCCAGCAGCCGCGGUAAUACGGAGGGUGCAAGCGUUAUCCGGAUUCACUGGGUUUAAAGGGUGCGUAGGCGGGCUGAUAAGUCAGUGGUGAAAGCU
Molecule: ribosomal RNA, 250 nt
Filed under: uncultured bacterium
Lineage: Bacteria
Description: partial 16S ribosomal RNA
Rfam family: Bacterial small subunit ribosomal RNA
Source: RNAcentral